This 1007-nucleotide ribosomal RNA is filed under the name Blepharhymenus corsicus. RNAcentral describes it as "eukaryotic LSU rRNA". It matches the Rfam family "Eukaryotic large subunit ribosomal RNA", at positions 80 to 847 of the family's 3401-position model. Lineage: Eukaryota; Metazoa; Arthropoda; Insecta; Coleoptera; Staphylinidae. The record is from RNAcentral.
UUAGUAGCGGCGAGCGAACAGGGAAAAGCCCAGCACUGAAUUGCGCGUUUAAGGACGCAGCGAAAUGUAGUGUUUGGGAGAAUCCAUUAUUCCGAAAUUUAACAUUGCGUCCAAGUCCUUCUUGAACGGGGCCAUUUACCCAUAGAGGGUGCCAGGCCCGUAGUGACCAUUGUUAAUUACGGAAGGAUUUCUCCUUAGAGUCGGGUUGCUUGAGAGUGCAGCCCUAAGUGGGUGGUAAACUCCAUCUAAGGCUAAAUAUAACCACGAGACCGAUAGCGAACAAGUACCGUGAGGGAAAGUUGAAAAGAACUUUGAAGAGAGAGUUCAAUAGUACGUGAAACCGUUUAAGGGUAAACCUGAGAAACCCGAAAGUUCGAACGAGGAGAUUCAGUGUGUMUCGAUAAAUACGAGUGCGGUAUGUAGACGACUGUUGCUUGCAAUAAUUGCUUCUUACCUGCGCCGUUGUUUGUCGAACGCAUGCACUUCUCCUCCAGUAGGACGUCGCAACCCGUUGGGUGUCGGUCUGAGGCUUGCAGUGGAGCCCAAUUGUUGGUCUAUGGCCAUACGAUUGAACCUGUAAUGUCCCGACCGGCUGCUCGACGGUAUAAUAAUGGCGCAAAGCCGCGACUAGCUCGCGUUCGGCCCGAUACAAGCACAAACGGUUACUCAAUCAUUGGACUUGUGCCGAUCUUGAAGCCAGUUGACUGUUAGUGUCGGUGUUCCCGGACAGACUUUGUACACGCCCGUUUGCGACGCUAUAGCUUUGGGUACUUUCAGGGCCCGUCUUGAAACACGGACCAAGGAGUCUAGCAUAUGCGCGAGUCACUGGGACUAAUGAAUCCUAAAGGCGAAAUGAAAGUGAAGGCAGAGCCUAGCUCUUCUAAGGGAAGACGGGUGACUUCGGUCGCCUUGCACUCCCGGGGCGUCUCACUCUCAUUGCGAGAAGAGGCGCACCUAGAGCGCAAAUGCUAUUGCCCGAAAGGUGGUGAACUAUGCGUGAUCAGGGC